CCUACGGGCGGCUGCAGUGGGGAAUAUUGCACAAUGGGCGCAAGCCUGAUGCAGCCAUGCCGCGUGUGUGAAGAAGGCCUUCGGGUUGUAAAGCACUUUCAGCGGGGAGGAGGGCGGUGAGGUUAAUAACCUCAUCGAUUGACGUUACCCGCAGAAGAAGCACCGGCUAACUCCGUGCCAGCAGCCGCGGUAAUACGGAGGGUGCAAGCGUUAAUCGGAAUUACUGGGCGUAAAGCGCACGCAGGCGGUCUGUCAAGUCGGAUGUGAAAUCCCCGGGCUCAACCAGGGAACUGCAUUCGAAACUGGCAGGCUAGAGUCUUGUAGAGGGGGGUAGAAUUCCAGGUGUAGCGGUGAAAUGCGUAGAGAUCUGGAGGAAUACCGGUGGCGAAGGCGGCCCCCUGGACAAAGACUGACGCUCAGGUGCGAAAGCGUGGGGAGCAAACAGGAUUAGAUACCCGAGUAGUC
RNAcentral lists this ribosomal RNA (465 nucleotides) under uncultured Klebsiella sp. Its description in RNAcentral is "bacterial SSU rRNA". It matches the Rfam family "Bacterial small subunit ribosomal RNA", at positions 338 to 795 of the family's 1533-position model. Lineage: Bacteria; Pseudomonadati; Pseudomonadota; Gammaproteobacteria; Enterobacterales; Enterobacteriaceae. The record is from RNAcentral.